RNAcentral lists this ribosomal RNA (630 nucleotides) under Bacillus sp. CSu1_4. Its description in RNAcentral is "bacterial SSU rRNA". It matches the Rfam family "Bacterial small subunit ribosomal RNA", at positions 63 to 676 of the family's 1533-position model. Lineage: Bacteria; Bacillati; Bacillota; Bacilli; Caryophanales; Bacillaceae. The record is from RNAcentral.
CGAGCGGACGGAUGGGAGCUUGCUCCCUGAAGUCAGCGGCGCCCUCUUGAGUAACACGUGGGCAACCUGCCUGUAAGACUGGGCUUCCAUAAGAAAACCGGGGCUAAUACCGGAUAAUUCUUCCCUUCACAUGAGGGGGAGCUGAAAGAUGGUUUCGGCUAUCUCUCUCUGAUGGGCCCGCGGCGCAUUAGCUAGUUGGUGAGGUAACGGCUCACCAAGGCGACGAUGCGUAGCCGACCUGAGAGGGUGAUCGGCCACACUGGGACUGAGACACGGCCCAGACUCCUACGGGAGGCAGCAGUAGGGAAUCUUCCGCAAUGGACGAAAGUCUGACUGAGCAACGCCGCGUGAGUGAUGAAGGUUUUCGGAUCGUAAAACUCUGUUGUCAGGGAAGAACAAGUGCCGGAGUAACUGCCGGCACCUUGUUUUUUUUUGGCCAGAAAGCCACGGCUAACUACGUGCCAGCAGCCGCGGUAAUACGUAGGUGGCAAGCGUUGUCCGCAAUUAUUGGGCGUAAAGCGCGCGCAGGCGGUUCCUUAAGUCUGAUGUGAAAGCCCACGGCUCAACCGUGGAGGGUCAUUGGAAACUGGGGAACUUGAGUGCAGAAGAGGAGAGUGGAAUUCCACGUGU